UACGUAGGUGGCAAGCGUUGUCCGGAUUUACUGGGCGUAAAGAGCGCGCAGGCGGUCGUUCAAGUCGCGUGUGAAAGCCCCCGGCUCAACUGGGGAGGGUCACGCGAUACUGAUCGACUCGAAGGCAGGAGAGGGUAGUGGAAUUCCCGGUGUAGUGGUGAAAUGCGUAGAUAUUGGGAGGAACACCAGUGGCGAAGGCGGCUCACUGGACCGGUACUGACGCUGAGGCGCGAAAGCGUGGGGAGCAAACGGG
Molecule: ribosomal RNA, 253 nt
Filed under: uncultured bacterium
Lineage: Bacteria
Description: partial 16S ribosomal RNA
Rfam family: Bacterial small subunit ribosomal RNA
Source: RNAcentral